Long non-coding RNA from Saccostrea cuccullata (small rock oyster), 298 nucleotides. RefSeq lists it as uncharacterized. The transcript has 3 exons. The record is from RefSeq and is a predicted model, not a curated record. NCBI's taxonomy places the organism in Eukaryota, Metazoa, Mollusca, Bivalvia, Ostreida, Ostreidae.
GGGCGGCCCCUGCCCCAGAAACUGUUACUGUUGGCAGGGCACCACAGAUCAUUCAGUCCUCCAUUCCCUCUUACAGUAACAUGACACCAGCUUCAGCUCUUGCUCAGAAUGUGGUGUUAACAGAUGAACUGAUGUCAUUUGCUAAUAUUGAUCAAUCGCUUGGUAACCAGACAUUACAGCUGGGACCCCCUGUUUCAUCAGGUGGAUCCUAUCUGUCUCAGGUGGCAUCCUAUCCCUCCCAGUCUCCUAACAGUGUGACUGUCCUGGGUCCCAUCAACAGUGCCUCCACCCUGCCUAC